RNAcentral lists this long non-coding RNA (855 nucleotides) under Monodelphis domestica (gray short-tailed opossum). RNAcentral's name for it is "lncRNA (ENSMODG00000032341.2)". Lineage: Eukaryota; Metazoa; Chordata; Mammalia; Didelphimorphia; Didelphidae. The record is from RNAcentral.
UAGUAUGAUUAAUUUUUUUUAAUGUGCCUAUUGCUUCUGAUUCUUUCUGUGUGGCAAAUUUUGUAACUUCCUCUGUCUAAAAAUGAAACUUUUCAUAAUGAUUGAUCAGUAGAAAAAUACUAAAUUUCUUUUUUAAAAAUUUCCUUUACUGAUUUCUUUCUUUUUUUCUUUUGGCCCAGGAUUGUAAUGUCGGUAAUCCACAUUGACAUCAUAAGAGUUGGCCACAGGCAUGCCAAUGUCAAAAUGUUUCAAAAAACAUUUAAAAAAAUAAAGCCAUGAAUAGAAGCGUCCUUGUUCUUUAAAUUAUUACUGUGUUACCCUGAACUGUAAGUGAACCCUCUCUACUUAGUGAAGGAGCAGCUGUUCAUGCAAUUGAACCCAUGGUUCAUUACAAGCUGACCUCAAAUUCAGGAGUAAAACUUCCUCUAUUUUACUACGACUAUUCAGACACGGACUGGAGAUAAACAAUAAUCAAAAUCCGGAUGGAGCUAGACUGGGGAACCCUCUAUACUCCUUGGCAGAAUUAUAGCAGCUUUUGGAUCACCAAGAGUGAGACAAGUGAAAUGACCCUCAGACGUCCCUUCUCGAAUGGCGAGGGCGGACCCAGGCUGCCAAGUCCAGAGUAGACAAAGGCUGAUUGUGACAACCUUGUUUUUGCUGCCAUUAGACAAGGGACUGUCUUACACAUUUCUUCAGUACUUGGCACAUAAUACCAUUCAAAAAAUGCAUAUUUAACAUGUAUGAUCCAGUGGAAUUGCUUGUGGGAAGAGGGGAGGGAGACAACAUGAACCAUGUAACUUUGGAAAACUUGUGCAUAAAUUUGUUAUUGGAAUAAAAAAGAGAUUUUAAAAAAUA